RNAcentral lists this ribosomal RNA (742 nucleotides) under uncultured Pseudomonadales bacterium. RNAcentral describes it as "bacterial SSU rRNA". It matches the Rfam family "Bacterial small subunit ribosomal RNA", at positions 44 to 781 of the family's 1533-position model. Lineage: Bacteria; Pseudomonadati; Pseudomonadota; Gammaproteobacteria; Pseudomonadales. The record is from RNAcentral.
AGGCCUAACACAUGCAAGUCGAGCGGAUGAGAAGAGCUUGCUCUUCGAUUCAGCGGCGGACGGGUGAGUAAUGCCUAGGAAUCUGCCUGGUAGUGGGGGACAACGUUUCGAAAGGAACGCUAAUACCGCAUACGUCCUACGGGAGAAAGCAGGGGACCUUCGGGCCUUGCGCUAUCAGAUGAGCCUAGGUCGGAUUAGCUAGUUGGUGAGGUAAUGGCUCACCAAGGCGACGAUCCGUAACUGGUCUGAGAGGAUGAUCAGUCACACUGGAACUGAGACACGGUCCAGACUCCUACGGGAGGCAGCAGUGGGGAAUAUUGGACAAUGGGCGAAAGCCUGAUCCAGCCAUGCCGCGUGUGUGAAGAAGGUCUUCGGAUUGUAAAGCACUUUAAGUUGGGAGGAAGGGCAUUAACCUAAUACGUUAGUGUUUUGACGUUACCGACAGAAUAAGCACCGGCUAACUCUGUGCCAGCAGCCGCGGUAAUACAGAGGGUGCAAGCGUUAAUCGGAAUUACUGGGCGUAAAGCGCGCGUAGGUGGUUUGUUAAGUUGAAUGUGAAAGCCCCGGGCUCAACCUGGGAACUGCAUCCAAAACUGGCAAGCUAGAGUACGGUAGAGGGUGGUGGAAUUUCCUGUGUAGCGGUGAAAUGCGUAGAUAUAGGAAGGAACACCAGUGGCGAAGGCGACCACCUGGACUGAUACUGACACUGAGGUGCGAAAGCGUGGGGAGCAAACAGGAUUAG